RNAcentral lists this ribosomal RNA (253 nucleotides) under uncultured bacterium. Its description in RNAcentral is "partial 16S ribosomal RNA". It matches the Rfam family "Bacterial small subunit ribosomal RNA", at positions 524 to 776 of the family's 1533-position model. The record is from RNAcentral.
UACAGAGGUCUCAAGCGUUGUUCGGAUUCAUUGGGCGUAAAGGGUGCGUAGGUGGCGAUGUAAGUCUGGUGUGAAAUCUCGGGGCUCAACCCCGAAAUUGCAUUGGAUACUGCGUUGCUUGAGGAUUGUAGAGGAGAGUGGAAUUCACGGUGUAGCAGUGAAAUGCGUAGAUAUCGUGAGGAAGACCAGUUGCGAAGGCGACUCUCUGGGCAAUUCCUGACACUGAGGCACGAAGGCCAGGGGAGCAAACGGG